GGGGGGGGGGGGGGGGGGGGGGGGGGGGGGGGGGGGGGGGGGGGGGGGGGGGAGGGUGGGGCUGGGAUGGUAGCGGCGGACGGGGGAGGAACACGGGGAUAACCUACCUAUAAGACUGGGAUAACUUCGGGAAACCGGAGCUAAUACCGGAUAAUAUUUUGAACCGCAUGGUUCAAAAGUGAAAGACGGUCUUGCUGGCACUUAUAGAUGGAUCCGCGCUGCAUUAGCUAGUUGGUAAGGUAACGGCUUACCAAGGCAACGAUGCAUAGCCGACCUGAGAGGGUGAUCGGCCACACUGGAACUGAGACACGGUCCAGACUCCUACGGGAGGCAGCAGUAGGGAAUCUUCCGCAAUGGGCGAAAGCCUGACGGAGCAACGCCGCGUGAGUGAUGAAGGUCUUCGGAUCGUAAAACUCUGUUAUUAGGGAAGAACAUAUGUGUAAGUAACUGUGCACAUCUUGACGGUACCUAAUCAGAAAGCCACGGCUAACUACGUG
Molecule: ribosomal RNA, 497 nt
Filed under: uncultured bacterium
Lineage: Bacteria
Description: partial 16S ribosomal RNA
Rfam family: Bacterial small subunit ribosomal RNA
Source: RNAcentral